AUCCACAUGACGAGUCUCAAAUAGGACGAAACGCAUGUCCUGAAU
RNAcentral lists this non-coding RNA (45 nucleotides) under Schistosoma mansoni. Lineage: Eukaryota; Metazoa; Platyhelminthes; Trematoda; Strigeidida; Schistosomatidae. The record is from RNAcentral.